This 274-nucleotide long non-coding RNA is filed under the name Elaeis guineensis (African oil palm). RNAcentral's name for it is "long non-coding RNA (EGUI_LNC017115)". The record is from RNAcentral. Lineage: Eukaryota; Viridiplantae; Streptophyta; Magnoliopsida; Arecales; Arecaceae.
UCGAUUAUUGCUCCUUUAUCUCUAUCAAUUUCUGUACCCUAGGGGUGUUCAAAGGAGCAUAGUUGGUGAAUCUUCUUAGUGGUGAUGUAUUCUGUCAAUCUCUAAGGGGAGUCCGUUGUCGUCGGUUCCAUGAUGGGGUUCUAGAUCCUUGAUUCUGAGGUGGAGUCUUGAAUCGUCAAUGAUGAGGUGAAGUCCAUGAUCAUCAAUCCUAAGGUAGAGUCCUUGAUCAUCGAGUAGUUAGAUGAUCCUCCUACCUUAGUGGACUCCACCUGUC